UGGGGUAUAUUGCACAAUGGGCGCAAGCCUGAUGCAGCCAUGCCGCGUGUGUGAAGAAGGCCUUCGGGUUGUAAAGCACUUUCAGCGGGGAGGAAGGCGAUAAGGUUAAUAACCUUGUCGAUUGACGUUACCCGCAGAAGAAGCACCGGCUAACUCCGUGCCAGCAGCCGCGGUAAUACGGAGGGUGCAAGCGUUAAUCGGAAUUACUGGGCGUAAAGCGCACGCAGGCGGUCUGUAAAGUCGGAUGUGAAAUCCCCGGGCUUAACCUGGGAACUGCAUUCGAAACUGGCAGGCUAGAGUCUUGUAGAGGGGGGUAGAAUUCCAGGUGUAGCGGUGAAAUGCGUAGAGAUCUGGAGGAAUACCGGUGGCGAAGGCGGCCCCCUGGACAAAGACUGACGCUCAGGUGCGAAAGCGUGGGGAGCAAACAGG
Molecule: ribosomal RNA, 429 nt
Filed under: Chloroflexota bacterium
Lineage: Bacteria; Bacillati; Chloroflexota
Description: Chloroflexi bacterium partial 16S ribosomal RNA
Rfam family: Bacterial small subunit ribosomal RNA
Source: RNAcentral